GUUCAUAAUCACUUUAUGAUUGUAUAAACAAAAUACAAAGGGUAAAAAAAUACGUACUGCUGAAAAAUUGUCAUAUUUUCCUUUUUUUUCUAUCUUUUAUGAGUAAUUUUCUUUCUUAUCUAUCAAAUGUGCGGAACAAUUGAUUUCUGAUAUAGGUUAAUCUUUUGAAGGUUACACAUCUCUAACUUGUUUAUUUUGUUACUCUAUUCAUCUGUGUUUCCUCUUAUUUUUAAUUUUAUUCUUGCAUCACCAAUGAUUAUGAUAGGGUUUUUCGUAUUGUUUUGAUGAGAUUGAGAUGUUUUUUAGGAUUAUGAGGAUCUCACAAUAAGAAAGGUGGUACUAAUGUAACACUACAAAAAUGAUUGGGUUUGUUUCCUUUAAUACAUACGGUCUCAUUUUCAUUGUCUUGUAAUUAUUCUUUUUUCUAUUUUUCUUUUUCAUUUUCUUGUAAUCAUUCUGUUUUCUUUUUUUCUUUUUCAUUUUCUAAUUAUAAUAAUUAGUAUUUUUGCAUAUUUUUUAAUCUAUAUAACUUAUGUUAAUCGUUUAAUUAUUAGAAUAUAGAAGAUGACAUUUUGUUCUUUAGGAUAUAAGUAUAUAAUUAAUUAAUUUUGAUGUUCAAUACAUAUCUUUCUAAACUAAUUAAUGUCAAGGUUUGUUACUCAUUACAUGUUUGAUUAUUUAUAUAAUUGAGGAUUUACUUAAUAUAAAUAUUUAGCUUACAAUAUUUAAUAGAUAUCUCUGGUUCAUAAUCAUAUUAUGAUUGUAUAAACAAAAAUACGUACUGCUGAAAAAUUGUCAUGUUUUCCUUUUUUUUUUUCUAUCUUUUAUGAGUAAUUUUCUUUCUUAUCUAUCAAAUGUGCGGAACAAUUGAUUUCUGAUAUAGGUUAAUCUUUUGAAGGUUACACAUCUCUAACUUGUUUAUUUUGUCACUCUAUUCAUCUGUGUUUCCUCUUAUUUUCAAUUUUAUUCUUGCAUCACCAAUGAUUAUGAUAGGGUUUUUCGUAUUGUUUUGAUGAGAUUGAGAUGUUUGUUAGGAUUAUGAGGAUCUCACAAUAAUAAAGGUGGUGCUAAUGUAACACUAGAAAAAUGAUUGGGUUGGUUUCCUUUAAUACAUACGGUCUCAUUUUCAUUGUCUUGUAAUUAUUCUAUUUUCUUUUUUUCUUUUUCAUUUUCUUGUAAUUAUUCUUUUUUCUUUUUUUCUUUUUCAUUUUCUACUUAUAAUUAGUAUUUUAGCAUAUUUUUUAAUCUAUAUAACUUAUGUUAAUCGUUUAAUUAUCAGAAUAUAGAAGAUGACAUUUUAUGUUCUUUAGGAUAUAAGUAUAUAUUUAAUUAAUUUUGAUGUUCAAUACAUAUCUUUCUUUCUCUACCAUGAGUAUAAUUUUAUAAUGCAACUUCUAUCUUAUAUUUCUUUUAUUGGAGUAUAAAUAUAGCAUGCCAGAUUAAAACAUAAUUUUGAAAUUAUCGAUGAUAUAUUUCAUUUUUAUCAUUUUAAAAUUAUAAUAUAUUACUUAUAUUUAUCAUUUUAAAAAAAUACGUACUCCUGAAAAAUUGUCAGAUUUUCCUUUUUUCUAUCUUUUAUGAGUAAUUUUCUUUCCUAUCUAUCAAAUGUACGGAACAAUUAACUUCUGAUAUAGGUUAAACUUUUGAAGGUUACACAUCUCUAAUUUGUUUAUUUUGUUACUCUAUUCAUUUGUGUUUCCUCUUAUUUUCAAUUUUAUUCUUGCAUCACCAAUGAUUAUGAUAGGGUUUUUCGUUUUGUUUUGAUGAGAUUGAGAUGUUUGUUAGGAUUAUGAGGAUCUCACAAUAAUAAAGGUGGUGCUAAUGUAACACUAGAAAAAUGAUUAG
RNAcentral lists this long non-coding RNA (1845 nucleotides) under Lathyrus oleraceus (garden pea). RNAcentral describes it as "Pisum sativum (pea) long non-coding RNA (PSAT_LNC029600)". The record is from RNAcentral. Lineage: Eukaryota; Viridiplantae; Streptophyta; Magnoliopsida; Fabales; Fabaceae.